CUUUAUUUGUAUGUGUUGCUGGGGAUUGAACCUGGGCCGCACGCAUGCCAGUGGAAUACCUAUGUAACAAGAAUUCUUUGAAAUAGUUUCAGAAGUGCUAGUGUCAACAUUAAAAUUCAUCAUACCUUUCAUAAGGAAAUGAAACCCAGAUUAUGAAGAGCUGGAUGGGACCUAUGUGAUCAUUAUAUUUCAAUAGUGUUUAAUUUUUAAUUUUUUUCCUUUGGGUUAAGAGAUGGAACUCUUUUCUUCAAACAAAAUCUUACAGGGAAGCCCAAAUGUUGAAGAUCAGAGCAUAGCCUCAGGGUCCCUAUAGUUCUCAAGGCACAGUUAGAAAAUCAUCAGUUUAAUUCAACCUUUCUUAAAGAAAAGUGAGGUUGAGUAGUUGUCAAAGACUACACAAAUGGUGGCAAUUUAGCAACUAGAAACCAGGCCUCUUGCAUUACAGUCAGGCUCUUUCCAACAGCUAUCUUUCCCAUAGUUCCUAGAUUGUGCUCAGAGAAAGGGUUCAGAAUCUGAGAUAUUCUUUGUCAAGAAGAAUCCUGAGGAGAGGACAAAAUGAAAAUACUGAGACUAUUUCCAUAAUAUAAUGAUCUUUGUACUAUAAAAAUAUUCAGGAAAAAAACAGCUUAGAAAUAAAGAAUUCUCCUGGGACUUAAA
This is a long non-coding RNA of Ictidomys tridecemlineatus (thirteen-lined ground squirrel), 657 nucleotides long. RefSeq lists it as uncharacterized. Lineage: Eukaryota; Metazoa; Chordata; Mammalia; Rodentia; Sciuridae. The record is from RefSeq and is a predicted model, not a curated record.